This 200-nucleotide unclassified non-coding RNA is filed under the name soil metagenome. RNAcentral describes it as "partial contains internal transcribed spacer 2 and large subunit ribosomal RNA". The record is from RNAcentral.
UUCGAGCGUCAGUACAACACUCAAGCCCUGCUUGGUAUUGAGCCCCGCCGGUCACACGGUCGGGCCCUAAAACUAGUGGCGGUGCCAUUGGGCUCUCAGCGUAGUAAUACUUCCCGCUGUAGGUCCCGGUGGACGCUGGCCAGCAACCCCAUACUUAUAAGUUUGACCUCGGAUCAGGUAGGGAUACCCGCUGAACUUAA